This 71-nucleotide transfer RNA is filed under the name Protagonista lugubris. RNAcentral describes it as "tRNA-Lys". The record is from RNAcentral. Lineage: Eukaryota; Metazoa; Arthropoda; Insecta; Blattodea; Blattidae.
CAUCAGAUGACUGAAGGUAAGUAAUGGUCUCUUAAACCAAAAUAUAGUAAAUUAACAAUUACUUCUGAUGA